This 1637-nucleotide unclassified non-coding RNA is filed under the name Hevea brasiliensis (rubber tree). Lineage: Eukaryota; Viridiplantae; Streptophyta; Magnoliopsida; Malpighiales; Euphorbiaceae. The record is from RNAcentral.
AAAGAUGCAUAUGCUGAUGUGUCAUGAGGACUAGAUGUUUCCUGUGGCUGUCACUUGUGGCAAUACUUUUAUUCUAAAGACAUCAGAGAAAGAUCCAGGUUAUUGCUAGACAUUCCUAGUACUAUAUUUUUUUUUAUCAUGCCAUGGUCUAUGUAAGUGUUAUAGCAAAAAGAAAUGUUUAACUAGUGUAAUUGGUUUUAUAUUUACUUUGAUGAGGAUUUAUCUAAUGCAUAUCAAUUGAAGCAAAUGUACAGAAUAAUUUAUUAGAUUUUAAACCUGGUCAAGACAUUGUAAUUCAUAUUCUGUUGAAGCAUUUGAGUCUUUGAGUUCCAUUUUUCAAAGCAAAUUGCAUUAAAGUUGUAGUCUUUGUUGAAAAGAGUAAUUCCUUCGUUACUAGCCUUGCCAUGUAAAGCUCGAUGUCUAAUCUUGUGGCAACGGAGGCACUCUUUUUUUUUUUCCCUUUUACUCUCCAUAUCCAUCGGAUGCUCCCUUCUGUUCUUAGUUUGUCAAGUUUACUUAUCUGCAUCUUGGAGAGCAGAGUUCAAAAUAUGGAGCAAAAGAAAAGUUGCUGAGAGUAGGAAGCUUUUUGAAUCUUCUUGAAGUGGGAUUAUUUUCUAUUCUCUACCAAUAUUUGCAAAUUUAAUAAACAUAGACAAAGAAAUUUAUCACAAAGUAGGAAACUAGGAAUAAUUUUGAAUUUUCACCAUAUGGGACUAUUUUCUGAAAAGUCUCUAGUAAUUAUGCUAUUUCGGACAAAGUAUUAGAAAGAAUGAAAAAUGUAAAAUAAUCCCUCAAUAAGUCAUUUCUCAUUGCAGAUUUUGACUCAAGUUGCUGAAUAAUCCCUCAGUUUGGUACAAUAUCAUUACAGAAAUUGCCAGUUAUUAAUUUUAGCAUGUGCAUCCACAAGUUUUUGCUUGUGUACUAUGGUGGAAUAUGAUAAAAUAUCUUCAUGUGUGUUACUAGAGUAGUAAGUGAUUAUUUCAUAUGAAUAAUAUGACCUCGAUUUGGUCCAAACAUCUUCAGUUAUUAAUUUCAUGUUGGUAUUAAGUGUGACCCUUAUUUUUUAUUUUAUAUGAAUAUUAUAUUCUUUGCUAAUGAAAUGGGUUCUUGAGGUGUUCUAUGAUUAACAUGGAAAAUGAAUGAUGGAAUCGUUAACCAAUGGUCAUAUGACAACCAAGAUAAGAGCAAUUACAGGAUGCUAAAAAUUUCAUGUCUUGUUAUUUAGAAUACAUUCUUCUCAGAUCUUAUGUUCAAAACCUCAGAUGAAUGUUUCUUAGAUUCUGAUUGAUACUUCAGGAUUGUUUGCCCUCUAAGCCUUCGUUCUUCCACUGCUUCAUUUUUUCAUUUUUUUUUUCUCUUUUAAGGAUCUUGUGUUUCACUGCAUCUUUGGGUUGUGACUGCUUUAGCAUCUUUUCAUGUCAGUUAUUGAAAUAAUAUGAAGGGCACAUACCUAAGUAGGCUGCCUCUUUGCAACAUGAUUAUUUUUGUCAUGGAUUCUUUUUAUUAUUCUCAUCCUCAUUUGGUUUUUCGUUUUUUGGAUUUUGAUUUUAUAUUUUUGUUGACAAGGAAUGAUAUUUGUUCUUGUACUGAUCUUUUAGGCUGGUGCAUAUAUUUAUGCAAGGGCAUCAGCUAAAGGA